GAUGAACGCUGGCGGCGUGCCUAAUACAUGCAAGUAGAACGCUGAAGGAAGGAGCUUGCUCUUUCCGGAUGAGUUGCGAACGGGUGAGUAACGCGUAGGUAACCUGCCUGGUAGCGGGGGAUAACUAUUGGAAACGAUAGCUAAUACCGCAUAACAGUAGAUGUUGCAUGAUAUCUACUUAAAAGGUGCAAUUGCACCACUACCAGCUGGACCUGCGUUGUAUUAGCUAGUUGGUGAGGUAACGGCUCACCAAGGCGACGAUACAUAGCCGACCUGAGAGGGUGAUCGGCCACACUGGGACUGAGACACGGCCCAGACUCCUACGGGAGGCAGCAGUAGGGAAUCUUCGGCAAUGGACGGAAGUCUGACCGAGCAACGCCGCGUGAGUGAAGAAGGUUUUCGGAUCGUAAAGCUCUGUUGUAAGAGAAGAACGAGUGUGAGAGUGGAAAGUUCACACUGUGACGGUAUCUGACCAGAAAGGGACGGCUAACUACGUG
RNAcentral lists this ribosomal RNA (497 nucleotides) under uncultured bacterium. RNAcentral describes it as "partial 16S ribosomal RNA". It matches the Rfam family "Bacterial small subunit ribosomal RNA", at positions 28 to 507 of the family's 1533-position model. The record is from RNAcentral.